CCUACGGGUGGCAGCAGUGAGGAAUAUUGGUCAAUGGGCGGAAGCCUGAACCAGCCAAGUAGCGUGCAGGAUGACGGCCCUACGGGUUGUAAACUGCUUUUAUACGGGAAUAACGCGCCUUACGUGUAGGGCUUGGCAUGUACCGUAUGAAUAAGGACCGGCUAAUUCCGUGCCAGCAGCCGCGGUAAUACGGAAGGUCCGGGCGUUAUCCGGAUUUAUUGGGUUUAAAGGGAGCGUAGGCCGCAUGUCAAGCGUGCUGUGAAAUGUCCGGGCUCAACCCGGGCCUUGCAGCGCGACCUUGCUUGCGUGAGUCCGCGGACAGCAGGAGGCAUUCGUCGUGUAGCGGUGAAAUGCUUAGAUAUGACGAAGAACCCCGAUUGCGAAGGCAGCUUGCUGCAGCGGAACUGACGCUGAUGCUCGAGAGCGCGGGUAUCGAACAGGAUUAGAUACCCGAGUAGUC
This 460-nucleotide ribosomal RNA is filed under the name uncultured bacterium. Its description in RNAcentral is "partial 16S ribosomal RNA". It matches the Rfam family "Bacterial small subunit ribosomal RNA", at positions 338 to 795 of the family's 1533-position model. The record is from RNAcentral.